RNAcentral lists this unclassified non-coding RNA (6376 nucleotides) under Leishmania donovani. RNAcentral describes it as "gene:LdHU3.18.0930(CDS-product:citrate_synthase_p utative)". Lineage: Eukaryota; Euglenozoa; Kinetoplastea; Trypanosomatida; Trypanosomatidae. The record is from RNAcentral.
AUCUGCUUCGCCACUUGUGUGCUACACCUUUCUCUCUUUCGCGCGUGCUUUAUUUUGCGCCCCGUCUCCUCCUCUCUCUCUGUUUUGCUUUUCUCUUCGUCUUGGGCCUUUACGAUCCGCCGCAUCCAAGCGAACUCGCGUGCGCUCUCGCUCUCGCUCUUUCCGUGUUCGUGUUUUUCUGCGCGUCACGCUACUACACACACGCACACACAGCCCCCUCCCUCCUCCUGCUCGUCUCUGAGUCGCCCCCUUUUUGCAUCAGUUUUUUUUUUGCGUAUGGGCGGCUCACGUUAGCUGCCUCUCUUCACCUGCCUUCACCCCCCCCCCUUCACCCCGCACUCCCUCGCUUGCUGCUACUUGCACAACGGCAGCUCGCAGAUAUUUGCGCUCCCUUCUCGCACACGUACUGUGGAACCCCACGCGCUGUUCGCUGCUCCAUAAUUCGCGGCGUCGCCGGUCUCCGCAUGGCGUCAUCGGUAUUGGAUGAGAUGAAGGAGCAGAUGCUGAGGCGCUGCAGAGAAGACCAGAAGAAGAUCGACGACCUCAGGAAGAAGCACGGCCAUGAGAAGCUGUGCGACGCCACCAUCGAUGCGGUGUACGGCGGCAUGCGUGGCAUCACCGGCCUCGUGUACGAGCCAUCACUGCUGGACUCCGCGGAGGGCAUCCGCUUCCGCGGCCUCACGAUCCUGGAGUGCCAGGAGAUGCUGCCCAAAGCGCCGGGCGGCAAGGAGCCGCUGCCGGAGGCGAUGUUCUGGCUGCUGAUGACCGGCGAGGUGCCGACGGAGGAGCAGGCAAGGGGCCUGAACGCGGAGCUGCACCGUCGCGUCGACCCCGAGGCGAUUGCCGCGGCGCAGAAGGCGAUCGCGGCGCUGCCGAAGAACGCGCACCCGAUGACGGCGUUCAGUGUGGGCGUGCUUGCGCUGCAGACCUACUCGAAGUUUGCUGCGGCUUAUGCGGCGGGCAAGUCGAACAAGAAGACGUACUGGGAGUACGCGCUGGAGGACUCGCUGGACAUGCUGGCGCGCACGCCGGCGGUGGUGGCGAUGAUCUACAACCGCGAGACCAAGGGCCAGGUGGAGUUGGCCGCACCGAGCAACAGCGACCUGGACUGGGCGGCGAACUUUGCGAACAUGUUGGGCUUCCAUGACGAGGAGUUCCGGGAGUGCAUGCGUCUGUACCUGUCUGUCCACGCCGACCACGAGGGCGGAAACGUGUCGGCACACACGACGACGCUGGUUGCGUCGGCGCUGAGCGACCCCUACCUCGCCUUCAGCGCUGGCCUGAACGGUCUUGCUGGCCCGCUGCAUGGGCUGGCGAACCAGGAGGUGCUGAAUUACUUGCUCAGCAUGCAGGAGCGUGUGAAGGCGGACGGCGUGAACGUGCAUGAUGAGGCAGCGCUGGAGAAAGCGCUGACCAAGUACACGUGGGAGCUGCUCAACUCCGGCCAGGUGGUGCCCGGCUACGGCCACGCGGUGCUGCGCAAGGUGGACCCGCGCUACACCUGUCUGCGCAACUUCUGUCUGCGCCACAACUUCCAGGACGACCUGUUCAAGCUGGUUAACACCAUCUACAUGAUCAUGCCCGGCAUCCUGAAGGAGCACGGCAAGACCAAGAACCCCUACCCCAACGUCGACGCGCACUCCGGCGUGCUACUGCAGCAUUACGGACUGACAGAUCAGAACUGCUACCCGGUGCUUUUUGGCCUGUCGCGCCAGAUGGGCGUAUUGGCCGGCGUCGUCUGGGACCGCCUGCAGGGCCGCCCGCUCGAGCGUCCGAAGUCGACCACGACGGAGAUGCUCGCAAAGAAAUACCUGUGCAACUCCUUGUGAGGCAGCGUGAGGUCAUGUACACUUGGCGGACAGGCCAGGGAGACAGAGGAGGAGAUCGGGGCGAAGGGGGUUUGAGGAAAGUGCAGCGAGAGUUGGGCGCUUGAGCGAAGGAACUUGUUGAGGUGUGCCUGUUUCGUGCGUUGUAUCCACUCCUUCCUGCUCCGUGCAGAUCGCGCUUGUUGAUGAGCAGCGCGAGCACGUGUGGCCACAUCCCCCAUCCCCGGCCCCCCACCCCCUUGCUGCUAUGGCAAGGCGAUGUUUCGAUUUGUCCCCUCACUUGCCGAUAGAGAGGGUGGCAGGGAUGGGGGUGCGCGGGCGUUGUGGUGAAGCAGAUCAGGGUACGCACUCGCAAUCCGCAGGUAGUCUUCGGUUCAUUUUUUGAGGGACAGGCACCCAUGGCAAGGCAGAUGGUGAAUGCGAUGCCCUCAUCCCCGCCCCCCCCCUCCUCUGCUCCGUCCUCAUCUCAUGAACUGUAAAAUGCGUAGUACGAACGAGAUGCGCUUUACGAAGAGGAAGAUGAGGGACACACGUGUUGCCCCUAGUUUUCGGCAACGAUAGCGAGCGUGCAUGUGCACGCUCGCGCCUGCACACACCACAGUUCUCUUUGUGUAUUGUUACGUCUUUCCUUGUUGAUGUUCCUUUGCUGCUCUUGUUUUUUUUUUCGUGUGUGUUUACCAUCAUCAUCAUCGCUUCCUCACAUCUGCAUAAAUAACAAUCCCCCUACCCCUCUCCGAAAAAGCAAAAAAAAAAAACAAGAAAACGUCUUUUCGCGCUUCCCUACUCCUUCGCUUCAUCUCACUCCCGUACUCUCUCCCCCUCCCUCCCCUCCCCCCCCCCUGCCCUGUAUGUUGCGUCUGCACCCAUCAUCAUCCUUCAUCGUGAUCCGUAGCAUUGCACGUGCAUCUUCUUCCGUUUUUGUUUUUGUUUGGCUGCGUCCGCUCGUAUUGUUUCGUAUUCGGAGGGAAGGGGAAGGGAGGGGAGGCUUCGCGAUGCCGGGUUUGCGUCCGCUCUUUUUCGAUUUUUUUUUCGAGUACGUCUUUGCUUCUUUCUGCACUGCUGAUAACUUAUUGUCUUUUGUUGUUAUUUUUGUUUCCUACCGUGUCGCGGAGGAUGCUGGCCAUCUAGCCGCGGUACGAGAGCUCAGUGCUCACACACCCUUUCUGGGGACGCCGAGCAGCUUGCAGCCUGCUUUCGGUUAUGGCUAAGGACUCGCGGCGUCGCCGGACAGAGUGGGGCUGACGCUGUGCCGACGCUACCUGCGGUCAUGAUCACGUGUGGACCACCUCACUACAAAUUGCGUUUAUCAUUCAACAGGCAUAGAAAGCGAUGAGUUCUUUGUGCACGGGCACGUUAUUAUCUACAGGUCCCUUUCCGCUUGGCACAGCCACAUCUGGCAAAGGCGUGCGAAUUCAGGAGAGGGUCGAACACCCCAUGCCGCCGCAGACACAUAGAAGUGUCCCGCCUGUGGCGGCACGUGUGGGCAAGCCACCCAGAGACGCCACCCUCAAUGGCAUCGACUGGAAUGGAAAGGGAAGACAGCGAGUCCCCUCCCCAGGCAGCCACCUCGUCCUGAACAAGGUCCCGGGAUGCAGGAAUGCGUGCACUGUGCGCACGCGCUGUCAAGUACAGCUGGCACGGCGUAUCGCAUCCGCGCGGGGCAUCCAGAGGUCGGAAGAGCAACAGUGAUGGGCGAAGAAGGCGCGAGGUAAUCCAUACCGAUCAGCCCCAACGUGCAUGCAUGUGCGCGGCGCGUCCGGCGCCUCCUACGCCCGACCGGGUGGGCUGAUGCGGCAGAGAUGCCGCAUGCAUGACGAGAGCACCCCGAGCUACACCAUCGAGUCCUCCAGACUUUGGUGUGGAGAGUCUCCACACCAUAUGAUGACCUGCCGCGGCUUGAAGCGACUCGGGAGGGGGAGCGUGACUUGGAGGCAGGGUGCGCAGGAUCUCGGAGGGCCCUGGCCCGAGGCUGGCCAACUUCCUCGCUGAGCUCAUGUGGCAUGCACCUCCACCACCCCCUUAUUACCCGCACGACGGAUUCCACCGCCUCCGUCCUCGAGCAGGACUCUCGAGGUGGCCCGCAUCGAUCAAGCCAUGCUGUCCACCCGGGGUCUCCGUCUGACGCCGGCCGCGCAGCACGCACCCGAAGAAGGGACGAGAAAGGCCAAGAAGCGCCUGCUAGACGCAUGGCCCGGCUCGACGGCAGGGCGGCUUGUUCUGGUCGAUCAGGGCUUAGCCAGAGACGGGUGAGCUGUGACUGUGUGUGUGUGUGCGUGUAUAUGCGCUGACUUGUUCGCGGCUGGGAAUGAGCGCACUGGGGAGAAAAAUGGCACGUGUUGGUGUAUAAUGCAUGCUUUCUGCGGCAAGGUCUCGGGCAAGGAGCACAGAGGAAAUGGAAGGAGAGAGGGGGAGGGGACUGGAGGGGAUAGCUGCAUCAACGUCCAGACGAGCUACCACCAUCAGCGCUGCAGCCCUACUGCCCCCCCCUUCAUCCACAAGCAGCCCUCCCUUGUCCCUCUGCUGCGGCCUUGUCUCCGCCCUCCUGCUCAUAUGUUCGCUUUUUUUUUUGCUACUCUCCUUACUGGGCGUCUUCCUUUUAGGUUUUUGGUUUUACUACCCGCCCUUCGCACUUCACCCUUUACUUCUCCCUUCGUUCCCCUCCUCCUUAGCUGUUGUGCCUUUUUACGUGAGACCUGCAAGCGAAAUAAUCCUCUGUACUUUGUGUGUCCUUGUCCGCGAUACUUUUCCCUUCUGAGCGUGCUUCAUGUCCUUGGCUGUGUCUGCAUCUGCGCUGGUUUGUGUGUGUGUGUUCUCCCUCUUAUUCUACUCUUCCUCGGUGUCCCUUGGUUCUGUUUUGCGUUUUUGAGCUUAUUGUAUAUGUCGUUUCUCUCCGCUACCACACACCCUUCUCUGCUACUACAGCUCGUCCCUCCCUCUUUCAGCGCUUCUCUUUUUUUCUUGACGUCUGAAGAGACGUAGUGAUAUAUAGUUCCAUAGAUCGGAAGCGUUCGUGGUCGGCGACCUCCACCCCUUGGCCUUCUUUUGGUGAGCUCUGCUUUUUUUUUCGUCUUGGGGUUGUGUCCACCUUGACCGCCGGUAUCUGUGUCUGUCUGUGUGUUAUGCCAUGUUGCCUGGAGAUAUAUAUAUAUAUAUGGAUGGAUGUAUAUACAUAUGUAUGUGUGUGUGUGCAUGCGUUUUGUUCCAGUAGGCUGCUUUCUUCGAUUCUAUUUGGGGAGGGGGGAUAAGCGCCGUCUCUCUCGCUCGCUGUCUUUGUUGCUACCUUCGCUCUGUGAGUCUGCUACUUUUAUCAUCGACCUCUUCGUUUCCAUUUUUUUCUUGGGCCUUCCUCCGCCUUCCUCGCCCUCUCUUCUCGCGAGUGUGUGCAAAGAAUGCGUGAGAGAGAGAGAAAGGGGAGGGGAUGGCGGAGGAGGGGCUUCUGCUCCUCACCUCGGUUUACGCGUAUUUUUCUUUUAUCUGGCGCCGUGUCUGCUCUAGUCUUCUUGCUUACUGUGUGUGCGCGCGCGCUUCGUUUCUGAUUGCUCGUUCGCCUACUCUUUCUCUCGAUGCCUUUCUUUGAAAUAACCCCAAAACGCAAAACCUCCAGCGUCUGCGCAUCCCUCAACAAUACGACCUCCUCCCCCUCCCUCCCUACCCCACCCACACGCACGCACACGCACAUGCACGCAUGCACAACCUCGAAUCACGCGUGGAUGAACCGACGCGCCAGCGACGUGAGAAGCGAAACGAAAAGGCGUCACUGCUCCCGUCGCUCUCCCAUCACCACCAACACCAACACCGCCACUCCUUGUAUACAUGUGCGUGUGUGUGCGUCUCUUGUGUUAUCGACAACUCACGGAGUAUUCGAUAACACACGGAAGUAAACAUUUUUUUUUGCUUUUCUUUGUUUUUUUUUUCUUCUUUGAAAACGAAGGGGAGAAGAACAGGAGAUGCGCGGGUGGCGAUGAAAGAGAAGGGUAAAGAGUUGGCAAUGGCGUGGUACAGAAAAAUGGGGAUGGGUGAGAUGCGUGGGCGGGAGGUUCCAUGUGCACGAGCACCAGUGGCAUGGUCCAUAACACCACCCACGCACCCCACCCAUCCCCCCUUUCUCUGUGCCACUCCUCUCUCUCUUUUUAUAUGCUCCUUGAUUUGGAAUCGGUUUCACUCUUGCGUGCAUGCGUGCGUGCGUGCACACACGAAUUUUUCUUCUCGCGUGUGCGUGUGCGUGUGUAUGUGUGUUGGGCCGGCUCCCCUCCAUGAAUCUCGAGCAAAACAUGCUCGCAGACGCGUAUACAUUCGCUGUGUGUCGACGGGCCAUAUAGCAUGGCAGGGACCUCUUCUCGAGGUUGCACGCCUGUGUCGGAGUGUAUUCUGUGAGUCACCAACAAGCAAAAGUGUCCACAGUGGCGUCCGUUGUGCCCAAUCACCACCAACAUCACACACCGCGUAUCUCUGUGCGCUUUUCUAUAUUUACUUUAUUCUCUCGUUUCAGCUCCGAGUGCGCUUUCUAAUCCUUUAUUGAAAAAGGAAAGGUCGCAGAAGACACAAAGUAC